Molecule: ribosomal RNA, 964 nt
Filed under: uncultured bacterium
Lineage: Bacteria
Description: bacterial SSU rRNA
Rfam family: Bacterial small subunit ribosomal RNA
Source: RNAcentral
AGAGUUUGAUCAUGGCUCAGAAUCAACGCUGGCGGCGCGCCUAACACAUGCAAGUCGAACGGGAAAGUGGGCAACCAUGAGUACAGUGGCGUACGGGUGAGUAGCACGUGGGUAAUCUACCUCUUAGUGGGGAAUAACCCUGGGAAACCGGGGCUAAUACCGCAUGAGCUCGAGAGAGGAAAGCAGCAAUGCGCUGAGAGAGGAGCCCGCGGCCGAUUAGCUAGUUGGUAGGGUAAAAGCCUACCAAGGCAAAGAUCGGUAGCCGGCCUGAGAGGGCACACGGCCACACUGGCACUGAAACACGGGCCAGACUCCUACGGGAGGCAGCAGUGGGGAAUCUUGCACAAUGGGGGAAACCCUGAUGCAGCGACGCCGCGUGAGCGAUGAAGCCCUUCGGGGUGUAAGGCUCUUUCGGCAGGGAAGAUGAUGACGGUACCUGCAGAAGCAGCUGCGGCUAACUACGUGCCAGCAGCCGCGGUAAUACGUAGGCAGCAAGCGUUGUUCGGAGUUACUGGGCGUAAAGGGUGUGUAGGCGGUUCUUUAAGUUUGGUGUGAAAUCUCCCGGCUCAACCGGGAGGGUGCGCCGAAUACUGAGGGACUCGAGUGCGGGAGAGGAAAGUGGAAUUCCUGGUGUAGCGGUGAAAUGCGUAGAUAUCAGGAGGAACACCGGUGGUGUAGACGGCUUUCUGGACCGUAACUGACGCUGAGACACGAAAGCGUGGGUAGCAAACAGGAUUAGAUACCCUGGUAGUCCACGCCCUAAACGAUGCAUAUUUGGUGUGGGCAGUUCAUUCUGUCCGUGCCGGAGCUAACGCGUUAAAUAUGCCGCCUGGGGAGUACAGUCGCAAGGCUGAAACUCAAAGGAAUUGACGGGGGCCCGCACAAGCGGUGGAGCAUGUGGUUCAAUUCGACGCAACGCGAGAACCUUACCUGGGCUCGAACGGGUAGUCAACGGAGGUGGAAC